RNAcentral lists this ribosomal RNA (496 nucleotides) under uncultured bacterium. RNAcentral's name for it is "partial 16S ribosomal RNA". It matches the Rfam family "Bacterial small subunit ribosomal RNA", at positions 29 to 507 of the family's 1533-position model. The record is from RNAcentral.
AUGAACGCUGGCGGCGUGCCUAAUACAUGCAAGUCGAGCGAACAGACGAGGAGCUUGCUCCUCUGACGUUAGCGGCGGACGGGUGAGUAACACGUGGAUAACCUACCUAUAAGACUGGGAUAACUUCGGGAAACCGGAGCUAAUACCGGAUAACAUGUUGAACCGCAUGGUUCAACAGUGAAAGACGGUCUUGCUGUCACUUAUAGAUGGAUCCGCGCCGCAUUAGCUAGUUGGUAAGGUAACGGCUUACCAAGGCAACGAUGCGUAGCCGACCUGAGAGGGUGAUCGGCCACACUGGAACUGAGACACGGUCCAGACUCCUACGGGAGGCAGCAGUAGGGAAUCUUCCGCAAUGGGCGAAAGCCUGACGGAGCAACGCCGCGUGAGUGAAGAAGGUCUUCGGAUCGUAAAACUCUGUUAUUAGGGAAGAACAAAUGUGUAAGUGACUAUGCACGUCUUGACGGUACCUAAUCAGAAAGCCACGGCUAACUACGUG